Pelobates cultripes (western spadefoot toad) is the source of this 808-nucleotide non-coding RNA. The record is from the annotation of a GenBank genome assembly. Lineage: Eukaryota; Metazoa; Chordata; Amphibia; Anura; Pelobatidae.
UUCACAGUAUGCAGUGGUUGCCUGGUCUGUUGAAUCACAAUUUAUUUUAGAUCAGGUGGAUGGCUGCCUGCAUAUACAUAGUUCACCCGAGGAAAAGAUGUUAGCAAGAUGCACUAUGGGAAGAAGGUAGGCCGACAGAGGUACUGUUAUGCUAAUGUCUUGUUCUGCUGGGAAACCUUGGGUUCUGGCACAAUUAUGUGGAUGUUACUUUGACAUGUACCACCAACCUAGAGAUUGUUGCAGACCACGUAUACCCCUUCAUGGCAAUGGUGUUUCCUGAUGAGUGACUUCUUUCAGCAGGAUAAUGCACCCGUCACACUGCAAAAAUUGUUCAGAAAUAGUUUGAGGAACAUGACAAAGCAUUCUAGGUGUUGCCUUGGCCUCCAAAUUCCCAAAACGUUGCCAUUAAACUUACAGUUCUUAACUUAACAGAUGGUCAAAUUGAGAGUUUUUAUCCAGCCUAAGACAGCGUUAUAACAGCAUGUAGUAAAAUCAAAAAAUCUAAAUUAACACUAUAAGCAAAAUAACCAUGUCAUAACACUGGUUUAUAGUGCCUGGAGCACGGAUCCCUCUAGCGCUGUAUCUCCAUUCAGUUUUAAACCAUUAUUUCAAUACAGACAUGAGUUGGUGUGCAAAUAUUGCCAGGAGUUAUGAUUGGCAUGUUAAACAAUUCUCACUAGUACUACAUCAUUGACUUUGUGAAUGCCUUUCACUGUGCUUUACUGAAGUUACAUCCAGAUUACUCCACACCACUGCAAUAUCAAAAUCAUACAGAUAAAGAGAUUGUUAGGUGCAGAAAAGGUUAUUC